RNAcentral lists this ribosomal RNA (1343 nucleotides) under uncultured bacterium. RNAcentral describes it as "bacterial SSU rRNA". It matches the Rfam family "Bacterial small subunit ribosomal RNA", at positions 28 to 1381 of the family's 1533-position model. The record is from RNAcentral.
GACGAACGCUGGUGGCGUGCUUAACACAUGCAAGUCGAGCGGAAAGGCCACUUCGGUGGUACUCGAGCGGCGAACGGGUGAGUAACACGUGAGUAAUCUGCCCUUGGCUUCGGGAUAGCCACCGGAAACGGUGAUUAAUACCGGAUAUGACCACUUCGUGCAUGCGAUGGUGGUGGAAAGUUUUUCGGCCAGGGAUGUGCUCGCGGCCUAUCAGCUUGAUGGUGAGGUAAUGGCUCACCAUGGCUUCGACGGGUAGCCGGCCUGAGAGGGUGACCGGUCACACUGGGACUGAGACACGGCCCAGACUCCUACGGGAGGCAGCAGUGGGGAAUAUUGGACAAUGGGCGGAAGCCUGAUCCAGCAACGCCGCGUGAGGGAUGACGGCCUUCGGGUUGUAAACCUCUUUCAGUACCGACGAAGCGCAAGUGACGGUAGGUACAGAAGAAGCACCGGCCAACUACGUGCCAGCAGCCGCGGUAAUACGUAGGGUGCGAGCGUUGUCCGGAAUUAUUGGGCGUAAAGGGCUCGUAGGCGGUUUGUCGCGUCGGGAGUGAAAACCAGGUGCUUAACACCUGGCUUGCUUUCGAUACGGGCAGACUAGAGGUAUUCAGGGGAGAACGGAAUUCCUGGUGUAGCGGUGAAAUGCGCAGAUAUCAGGAGGAACACCGGUGGCGAAGGCGGUUCUCUGGGAAUAUCCUGACGCUGAGGAGCGAAAGUGUGGGGAGCGAACAGGAUUAGAUACCCUGGUAGUCCACACCGUAAACGUUGGGCGCUAGGUGUGGGGUCCAUUCCACGGAUUCCGUGCCGCAGCUAACGCAUUAAGCGCCCCGCCUGGGGAGUACGGCCGCAAGGCUAAAACUCAAAGGAAUUGACGGGGGCCCGCACAAGCGGCGGAGCAUGCGGAUUAAUUCGAUGCAACGCGAAGAACCUUACCUGGGUUUGACAUACACCCUGCCGCUCCAGAGAUGGGGCUUCUUUUGGGGGUGUACAGGUGGUGCAUGGCUGUCGUCAGCUCGUGUCGUGAGAUGUUGGGUUAAGUCCCGCAACGAGCGCAACCCUCGUUCUAUGUUGCCAGCAUGCCCUUCGGGGUGAUGGGGACUCAUAGGAGACUGCCGGGGUCAACUCGGAGGAAGGUGGGGAUGACGUCAAGUCAUCAUGCCCCUUAUGUCCAGGGCUUCACGCAUGCUACAAUGGCCGGUACAAAGGGCUGCGAUCCCGUAAGGGGGAGCGAAUCCCAAAAAGCCGGUCUCAGUUCGGAUUGGGGUCUGCAACUCGACCCCAUGAAGUCGGAGUCGCUAGUAAUCGCAGAUCAGCAACGCUGCGGUGAAUACGUUCCCGGGCCU